RNAcentral lists this ribosomal RNA (380 nucleotides) under uncultured eukaryote. Its description in RNAcentral is "partial 18S ribosomal RNA". It matches the Rfam family "Eukaryotic small subunit ribosomal RNA", at positions 592 to 976 of the family's 1831-position model. The record is from RNAcentral.
CAAUAGCGUAUAUUAAAGUUGUUGCAGUUAGAACGCUCGUAGUCGGAUUUCGGGGCGUUCCGACCGGUCUGCCGAUGGGUAUGCACUGGCCGGAGUGUCCUUUUUGCCGGAGACCGUGCCUACUCUUAACUGAGCGGGGGCGGGAGACGGCACUUUUACUUUGAAAAAAUCAGAGUGUUUCAAGCAGGCAGCUCGCUCUUGCAUGGAUUAGCAUGGGAUAAUGAAAUAGGACUUUGGUGCUAUUUUGUUGGUUUCGAACACCGAAGUAAUGAUGAGAAGGGACAGUCAGGGGCACUCGUAUUCCGCAGAGAGAGGUGAAAUUCUCAGACCCGCGGAAGACGAACCACUGCGAAAGCAUUUGCCAGGGAUGUUUNCACUGG